CUCCCAUGCCCUCCAGAUUUCAGAGCCUUUGAUCAUUUCUUUCUCAGCUUUUAUGCUCCUAGAACAAAGUGGCCCAUUUUGAUCUACCCUUGAAUGGCAUCCUUGUCCCCCAACUCCUUGAUCAUUUCCGAUGUCCUCCUCUUCACUUCCCCUAGCUGCUUUAUGUCUUUAAAAGUCACUUAACAAGGAAUUAGAAAGAAGCUGCUGUUUGCCCAAGUUUGUGCUAGGUCUUUUGGGAUGCUAAACAAGAUGCUGUUGCCCUGCUGUGCUUACUAGCCACUAUGGACUAAGAAGCUUUGCUCCACCAUGUUCUGCCAUGAUGUGUCUGCUUUGGAGCCAUCUGACCAUGAACUGAAACCUCUGAA
Molecule: non-coding RNA, 365 nt
Organism: Heterocephalus glaber (naked mole-rat)
Lineage: Eukaryota; Metazoa; Chordata; Mammalia; Rodentia; Bathyergidae
Source: RefSeq, a predicted model, not a curated record